UGGGGAAUCUUGCGCAAUGGGCGAAAGCCUGACGCAGCAACGCCGCGUGCGGGAUGAAGGCCUUCGGGUUGUAAACCGCUUUCAGCAGGGACGAAACUGACGGUACCUGCAGAAGAAGCCCCGGCUAACUACGUGCCAGCAGCCGCGGUAAUACGUAGGGGGCUAGCGUUAUCCGGAUUCAUUGGGCGUAAAGCGCGCGUAGGCGGGCUGUUAAGUCAGAUGUGAAAACCGGGGGCUUAACCCGCGGCCUGCAUCUGAAACUGGCAGCCUCGAGUCUGGUAGAGGAAAGUGGAAUUCCCAGUGUAGCGGUGAAAUGCGCAGAUAUUGGGAGGAACACCAGUGGCGAAGGCGGCUUUCUGGGCCACGACUGACGCUGAGGCGCGAAAGCUAGGGGAGCAAACA
RNAcentral lists this ribosomal RNA (402 nucleotides) under bacterium enrichment culture. RNAcentral describes it as "bacterial SSU rRNA". It matches the Rfam family "Bacterial small subunit ribosomal RNA", at positions 355 to 774 of the family's 1533-position model. The record is from RNAcentral. RNAcentral also lists the same sequence under 1 other name.